This 116-nucleotide ribosomal RNA is filed under the name Streptococcus pneumoniae. The record is from RNAcentral. Lineage: Bacteria; Bacillati; Bacillota; Bacilli; Lactobacillales; Streptococcaceae.
UUAAGUGACGAUAGCCUAGGAGAUACACCUGUACCCAUGCCGAACACAGAAGUUAAGCCCUAGAACGCCGGAAGUAGUUGGGGGUUGCCCCCUGUGAGAUAGGGAAGUAGCUUAGC